RNAcentral lists this ribosomal RNA (207 nucleotides) under uncultured delta proteobacterium. RNAcentral's name for it is "partial 16S ribosomal RNA". It matches the Rfam family "Bacterial small subunit ribosomal RNA", at positions 568 to 774 of the family's 1533-position model. The record is from RNAcentral. Lineage: Bacteria; Deltaproteobacteria.
CGUGUAGGCGGUUUGAUAAGUCUGAUGUGAAAGCCCUGGGCUCAACCCAGGAAGUGCAUUGGAUACUGUCAGACUUGAAUACGGGAGAGGGUAGUGGAAUUCCUAGUGUAGGAGUGAAAUCCGUAGAUAUUAGGAGGAACACCGGUGGCGAAGGCGGCUACCUGGACCGAUAUUGACGCUGAGACGCGAAAGCGUGGGUAGCAAACA